ACCUUUUAAUUUACUACUUGUG
Molecule: microRNA, 22 nt
Filed under: Drosophila mojavensis
Lineage: Eukaryota; Metazoa; Arthropoda; Insecta; Diptera; Drosophilidae
Description: Dmo-Mir-252-P1a_3p* (star (passenger))
Source: RNAcentral